CCUACGGGUGGCAGCAGUGGGGAAUAUUGGACAAUGGGCGAAAGCCUGAUCCAGCCAUGCCGCGUGUGUGAAGAAGGCCUUCGGGUUGUAAAGCACUUUCAGUGGGGAAGAAAGCCUUGGGGCUAAUACCCUCGAGGAAGGACAUCACCCACAGAAGAAGCACCGGCUAACUCCGUGCCAGCAGCCGCGGUAAUACGGAGGGUGCGAGCGUUAAUCGGAAUUACUGGGCGUAAAGCGCGCGUAGGCGGUCUGAUAAGCCGGUUGUGAAAGCCCCGGGCUCAACCUGGGAACGGCAUCCGGAACUGUCAGGCUAGAGUGCAGGAGAGGAAGGUAGAAUUCCCGGUGGAGCAGUGAAAUGCGUAGAGAUCGGGAGGAAUACCAGUGGCGAAGGCGGCCUUCUGGACUGACACUGACGCUGAGGUGCGAAAGCGUGGGUAGCAAACAGGAUUAGAUACCCCAGUAGUC
RNAcentral lists this ribosomal RNA (465 nucleotides) under Vreelandella stevensii. RNAcentral describes it as "partial 16S ribosomal RNA". It matches the Rfam family "Bacterial small subunit ribosomal RNA", at positions 338 to 795 of the family's 1533-position model. Lineage: Bacteria; Pseudomonadati; Pseudomonadota; Gammaproteobacteria; Oceanospirillales; Halomonadaceae. The record is from RNAcentral.